CGCUCUUUGUUAUUAGAUUUAGAGAUAAAGAGUCGGGCCUGCUCAAUGAUUGUUAAAAAUUAAAUAGCCGCGGUACCCUGACCGUGCAAAGGUAGCAUAAUCAUUUGCCUUAUAAUUGAGGGCUGGAAUGAAUGGUUUGACGAAAGCCUAACUGUCUUUUUAUUUUUGAUUAUAAAUUAAUUUUUAAGUGAAGAAGCUUAAAUUGGGAAAAGGGACGAGAAGACCCUAUUGAGUUUGAAUUUAUAAUUUUUAGAUUUGUAUUAUAUUAUAUAAAGUUAUUGUAAUUGUUAAAUUUUAGUUGGGGCAACUGAGGAAUAGAUAGAACUUCCUUGAUUAUAUAUGUUGAAAUUAUUGUUAUUGAUCCAUUGGAAUAAAUAAUGAUUAGUAGAUAUAAUUACCAUAGGGAUAACAGCGUAAUUUUUUCUGAGAGCUCUAAUCGAAGAAGAAGAUUGCGACCUCGAUGUUGGAUUAAGGGAUUCUUAGAGGAGUAAAAAUUUCUAAAGUAAGUCUGUUCGACUUUUAAAACCUU
This 529-nucleotide ribosomal RNA is filed under the name Ennucula niponica. Its description in RNAcentral is "partial 16S ribosomal RNA". It matches the Rfam family "Bacterial large subunit ribosomal RNA", at positions 1816 to 2597 of the family's 2925-position model. Lineage: Eukaryota; Metazoa; Mollusca; Bivalvia; Nuculida; Nuculidae. The record is from RNAcentral.